GACGGAGGAUGCAAGCGUUAUCCGGAAUUAUUGGGCGUAAAGCGUAUGUAGGUGGCUUGCCAAGUCCUUUGUUAAAGCGUGGAGCUCAACUCCAUAAAGGCGAGGGAAACUGGUAGGCUAGAGUACAGUAGGGGUAGGAGGAAUUCCCGGUGUAGCGGUGAAAUGCGUAGAUAUCGGGAAGAACACCAGUGGCGAAAGCGUCCUACCAAGCUGUAACUGACACUGAGGUACGAAAGCUAGGGGAGCGAAUGGGAUUAGAUACCCCCGUAGUCC
RNAcentral lists this ribosomal RNA (273 nucleotides) under uncultured bacterium. RNAcentral describes it as "partial 16S ribosomal RNA". It matches the Rfam family "Bacterial small subunit ribosomal RNA", at positions 524 to 796 of the family's 1533-position model. The record is from RNAcentral.